UACGUAGGGGGCUAGCGUUGUCCGGAAUUAUUGGGCGUAAAGAGCUCGUAGGCGGUCUGUCGCGUCGGCUGUGAAAUCCCGAGGCUCAACCUCGGGUCUGCAGUCGAUACGGGCAAACUAGAGUAUUGCAGGGGAGACUGGAAUUCCUGGUGUAGCGGUGAAAUGCGCAGAUAUCAGGAGGAACACCGGUGGCGAAGGCGGGUCUCUGGGCAAUAACUGACGCUGAGGAGCGAAAGCGUGGGGAGCGAACAGG
Molecule: ribosomal RNA, 253 nt
Filed under: uncultured bacterium
Lineage: Bacteria
Description: partial 16S ribosomal RNA
Rfam family: Bacterial small subunit ribosomal RNA
Source: RNAcentral